AAAGAUGCUUGUUUCUGUUGGCGUGAUGUGUGAAGAAACCAGCUGGCUGUACCCGACUCCGAUAGCGUGUCUCGAGUGAGCCAUGUUUCCGUGAAGCAAAGAACGUUAUAGUCUGUUAUGUCUCUCUGGAAUGCUACCCUUGCUCGGAUUUCAUCUACCUUGUUGUCAAGAGACUGGACAUUGGCAAGUAAUAUGCUCGGGAGCGGUGGGCGAUGUGCCCGUCUCCGGAGCCUGACCAGAAGACUACUUCUUCUGCCCCUUUUACAGCAUCGUUGUUUUGGUUCGCCGGCUGGGAUCCGAUCCAUUGUUCUGUGUGGUGGGCAAAACAGAGGAUCCGCUUCGGGAAAGUCGUAUUCCUGGUCGUAAUGAUGUUUGAUAAAGUGCACAGCUGGGUGCCAAACUGAUCCCCUGGACAUGAACGGAUGCUGGAACCUACCAGAAGGAGUAAAGGUCCUCCCAGUUAACACCACCUCGAAAGAUUGCCUGCUGCAGUUGUUCAAGAGAUGGGUGGGAGGGGCCCUCAUCAGUAUCUUGCAGACCAGCCCUCGCAGUGAGCAUUCCUAUGAAUUUGAUCAGUCAGCCACAUAUUGGCAAGUAUCCGUCCAGAAACAUUCACUUGUCAGUAUCAACAACUUUCACAGGCUCAUCAUUUGUACAAAUACAGAAGGUAAACCACUUCAUUCCUUUGAUACAUUUGAAAACCCAAUUGGGAAACAUUUAUCUAUACUGACAUUAUUUGGUUCUUAUUUUCUACUUCUUAGAUGCAUAUGAAGCCCAUGGGCAUAAUGUAGCCUGGUGGAACCAGUCUGAUUGCUGUGUUCACCAUUCUAUUUCACUUGACAUUUGAUGAUAUCUGAAGUGAAAUAGAAAGGUGAACGCAGCGAUCAGGUUGGUUCCACCAGGCUAAUCUUAACCAUUAUUGAUAAUGCAACCAGUGCUCUGUGUGUGCGCAUGCGACCGACCUGACGGACGACCGACCGAGGAGCUGAUCUACGCUGCUAUGCCCAUCAAUGGGGCUCUGGCAAAGACCUCACCUCUUGCCUCCUCACCAACGGUUGUCGAUGGGGAGAACAGAAUUAGAUACCUGUAUGGAGGCAGCACUUUGGAGACUUUCUAUGGUGGUACUACUGAUUUCUGACUAUAACCGGUUACAACAAACCCAAACCAACUCAGGGCGAUAGAACAACAUGUCACAGUUGGUUACAUAGUGUAACGGCGUCACCGGCCUGAAUCUAAUCCUACACCUGUAGGGAUAUUAGUUCUGGGAUUUUUCUCCCGGGAAAGAUCUAACAGCGGACAUGAGGAGAGAUGAGACAAAACCAUCCAGUUAUAGAAUAUUGUGUUGUAGGACAGCUGAGCUGACUGAAGACCUCGGGCAUUCAACUCGCAGUAGUCGAUAUCAUUUCCACGGUAACAUGUAUUUACAUGACAUGAUGAAACGUUGAAACUAAUUUGCAAGCUACUUUGGUAGCAAGGCGUUGUAGAACGAGUGUCUUAUGAAACACAUUCCAGACACUGGCUCUUGCCAUGUUGCAAUAACUGAUUUUGACAGCGACAUAUCAGCUAGGAGGAUAACCAGCUGCAGCUAUUAAAAAGCUAUGCUAGCUAGCUGCUGUCAGCUUGGCUAAACACAAGCAAAAGUGUAAAGUACUUAAGUAAAAAUACUUUAAUGUACUACUUAAGUUGUUUUUUGGGGUAUCUGUAGUUUACUUUACUAUUUAUAUUUUUGAGAACUUUUCUUUUUACUCCACUACAUUUCUAUAGAAAAUAUACUUUUUACUCCCAUACAUUUUCCCUGACACCCAAAAGUACUUGUUACAUUUCGAAUGCUCAGGCAGGACAAUAUGGUCCAAUUCACACCUAUCAAUAUAACGCAUUGUCAUCCCUUCUUCCUCUGAUCUGGUGGACUCACUAAACACAAAUACUGCAUUUGUAAAUUAUGUCUGAGUGUUGGAGUGUACCCCUGGCUGUCCGUAAAUAAAAAAUGUAAUAAACAA
Molecule: long non-coding RNA, 1997 nt
Organism: Oncorhynchus kisutch (coho salmon)
Lineage: Eukaryota; Metazoa; Chordata; Actinopteri; Salmoniformes; Salmonidae
Exons: 4
Source: RefSeq, a predicted model, not a curated record